GAUGAACGCUGGCGGCGUGCCUAAUACAUGCAAGUCGAGCGAACAGACGAGGAGCUUGCUCCUCUGACGUUAGCGGCGGACGGGUGAGUAACACGUGGAUAACCUACCUAUAAGACUGGGAUAACUUCGGGAAACCGGAGCUAAUACCGGAUAAUAUAUUGAACCGCAUGGUUCAAUAGUGAAAGACGGUUUUGCUGUCACUUAUAGAUUGAUCCGCGCCGCAUUAGCUAGUUGGUAAGGUAACGGCUUACCAAGGCAACGAUGCGUAGCCGACCUGAGAGGGUGAUCGGCCACACUGGAACUGAGCCACGGUCCAGACUCCUACGGGAGGCAGCAGUAGGGAAUCUUCCGCAGUGGGCGAAAGCCUGACGGAGCAACGCCGCGUGAGUGAUGAAGGUCUUCGGAUCGUAAAACUCUGUUAUUAGGGAAGAACAAAUGUGUAAGUAACUAUGCACGUCUUGACGGUACCUAAUCAGAAAGCCACGGCUAACUACGUG
RNAcentral lists this ribosomal RNA (497 nucleotides) under uncultured bacterium. Its description in RNAcentral is "partial 16S ribosomal RNA". It matches the Rfam family "Bacterial small subunit ribosomal RNA", at positions 28 to 507 of the family's 1533-position model. The record is from RNAcentral.